This 257-nucleotide ribosomal RNA is filed under the name uncultured bacterium. RNAcentral describes it as "partial 16S ribosomal RNA". It matches the Rfam family "Bacterial small subunit ribosomal RNA", at positions 335 to 607 of the family's 1533-position model. The record is from RNAcentral.
AUCCUACGGGACGCAGCAGUGGGGAAUAUUGGGCAAUGGGCGCAAGCCUGACCCAGCAACGCCGCGUGAAGGAAGAAGGCUUUCGGGUUGUAAACUUCUUUUAUUGAGGACGAAACAAAUGACGGUACUCAAUGAAUAAGCCACGGCUAACUACGUGCCAGCAGCCGCGGUAAUACGUAGGUGGCAAGCGUUAUCCGGAUUUACUGGGUGUAAAGGGCAUGUAGGCGGGACUGCAAGUCAGAUGUUAAACCCAUGGG